CAUUUAAGUUGGAGUGUUAGGUAUUUUAUCUCAGCAGUAAGAAAAGUAACUAAGACAGCACUCUUUGGAAUCUUGUGAUUUCCCUUAUGUGUUAUGUUGAUGUGACAUUUUAUAUUAAGUUUCCAGAUAUUACACCUCCACUAAAUUUUGUGGGUAAGCUUUUUUGGUUUCUUAGAUUACUCUUUCACUGUGGACUUUGACUCUUUCAAACAUUUGUAAUAGGGUAAGGGUGAGGGAUAAAAUUUGUAGGUUGGUUUAUAUGUUAAUGCUUUAGUCUGGCCCCAGAAGUUUUUACUUUGAAAAAAAUCAACACAUAAAAUUUAUACAUAUUUAUGUGGUGUCAUGCGUUGGCUUGAUACAUGGAUACAUUGUGUAAUGUUCAAAUUGGGGUAAGCAUGGUCUACUUCCCCAAACAUUUGUCCUUUUUGUGAUGAAAACAUUCAAAAUCUGUUCUUUAGCUUUUCUGAGAUACACAGUACAUUGUUUUUAAUACCCACUGACAACCUCCCCAGUGCCCCAGUCAUUGGUAACUAUUAUUCUGCUAUCGUCUUCUCUGACAUCAAUUUUUAGGUCCCACAAGUGAGAGUGUGCGCACUAUUUGUCUGUCUGUGUCUGGAUUAUUUCAUUUACCACAAUGUCCUCCAGUUCCAUUCCUGUUGUUUCACGUGACAGGAUUUCAUCCUUUCUUACUGCGUUCCAGUAUGCCAUUGUGUGUAUGUACCGUAGUUUCUUUAUUCAUUCAUCACUUCAUGGGCACAUCGGUUUAUUCCAUUUUGUGGCUCUUGUGAAUAGUGUUGCAAAUGACAUAGAAAUGCAGAUGUCUUUUCGAUGUAUGGAUUUCAUUUCCUUUGGAGUCAUACCCGGUAGUGGUGUCACUGGAUGAUAUAGUCGUUCUAUUUUUUAUUUUGUGAAGAUUGUUCACACUGCUGUCUAUGGUUCUAUAAUGACUGUCCCAAUUCACAUCCCCACCAACAGUGUGCAAGCGUUCCCUUUCUUUCUCACGUUCUUUCCAACACUUUUUUGGGUCUUUUUUGAUAACAUCCAUGCUAACAGGUGCAAGGUAAAAUCUCAUUGUGGGUUUGACUUAUAUUUCCUUAGUGAUGAGCAACUUUAAGUGUUUUUCAUAUAUAGCUUGGCCAUUUAUAUGUCUUCUUUUGAGAAAUGUCUAUUUAGGUCAGUUAUAUAUUUUAAAGUCAGCUUAUUGAUUUGCUUUGGGUGUGGAGUUGAGUUCCUUAUAUAGUCUCGGUGUUAAUUCCUUGUCAAAUGAGUAGUUUGUAGAUAUUUUAUUCCAUUAUAUAGGCUGUUCUUUCAUUCUAUUGAUUGUUUUGCUAUGUAGAAGCUUUUUAGCUAGAUGUAAUUCUUUUUAUUUUAACUUUUGUUUGUGCUUUGGGGUCUUACCCCAAAAAACCUUUGCUAAUUUCAGUGUCGUGAAGUGUUUCCUCUAUGUUUCCUUCUAGUAAUUUUAUACUUUCAGACCCCAUGUUUAAGUCUUUAAUCCAUUUUGAGGUUUUUUUUUGUAUAUAGUCACCAGGUUCUGACAUCAAGUAUUGGAAGACAGGAAGGAACAGGCAGAGCUUGCAAAGAUGAAGAACAGUUAAAGGUUUGGCUUACUGGAUCAUUCCCAGGGUACCCUUUGUGACAGAGAAAUGAAGUAAUGGGAGAAGUGGAAAAGAAACAAAAGUAUCAGGAUGCUGUCCUUAUUUUCUCUCCCCCAGGCCCACCAUGACUUUGGCACAGUCCAGCAGAGUACCGGGGAUCGAACUCACAACCUUGUGCUUGCUAGGCAGACGCUUAUGCCACUGAGCUAUAUCCCCAGCCCUCCUGGCUAACUUUUACAACCUAGAAAAUAUGGAAAGCAACCAUUCCUAUUUUUGUUUGUUUUUUUUUGAAUCUUGCAUACCCCCCAAAAAAUCCAAAAUAAAAGACCUAGU
Long non-coding RNA from Chinchilla lanigera (long-tailed chinchilla), 1931 nucleotides. RefSeq lists it as uncharacterized. NCBI's taxonomy places the organism in Eukaryota, Metazoa, Chordata, Mammalia, Rodentia, Chinchillidae. The record is from RefSeq and is a predicted model, not a curated record. The transcript is spliced from 3 exons.